RNAcentral lists this ribosomal RNA (253 nucleotides) under uncultured bacterium. Its description in RNAcentral is "partial 16S ribosomal RNA". It matches the Rfam family "Bacterial small subunit ribosomal RNA", at positions 524 to 776 of the family's 1533-position model. The record is from RNAcentral.
UACGUAGGGUGCAAGCGUUGUCCGGAAUUACUGGGCGUAAAGCGCGUGUAGGCUGCUUCGCAAGUCGGAUGUGAAAGUCCUGGGCUCAACCCAGGAAGUGCAUUCGAAACUGCAGAGCUGGAGUCCUGGAGAGGAAGGCGGAAUUCUCGGUGUAGAGGUGAAAUUCGUAGAUAUCGAGAGGAACACCGGUGGCGAAGGCGGCCUUCUGGACAGUGACUGACGCUGAGACGCGAAAGCGUGGGGAGCAAACAGG